RNAcentral lists this long non-coding RNA (19169 nucleotides) under Citrus x clementina. RNAcentral's name for it is "Citrus clementina (C. clementina) long non-coding RNA (CCLE_LNC002228)". The record is from RNAcentral. Lineage: Eukaryota; Viridiplantae; Streptophyta; Magnoliopsida; Sapindales; Rutaceae.
AGCCCACCCGUUUUUUGGCCAUUUUUCCGCUGGGGGGUCUUGGGACCCCGACCUUCGGGGGCUGAUUUUUGGGCGCGGCUGUGCCCGUGGCCUAUUUUUCGCACACAGAGGCCGCCCGCCAAGUAUGGUGCCAUUCCGAGUCCCGCGGACGAACUUCGCCCACACCCCCCACCAAGGCUAUAGCCCACCCGUUUUUUGGCCAUUUUUCCGCUGGGGGGUCUUGGGACCCCGACCUUCGGGGGAUGAUUUUUGGGCGCGGCUGUGCCCGUGGCCUAUUUUUGGCACACGGAGGCCGCCCGCCAAGUCAGGGGCCAUUCCGAGUCCCGCGGACGAACUUCGCCCACGCCGCCCACCAAGGCUAUAGCCCACCCGUUUUUUGGCCAUUUUUCCGCUGGGGGAUCUUGGGACCCCGACCUUCGGGGGCUGAUUUUUGGGCGCGGCUGUGCCCGUGGCCUAUUUUUGGCACACAGAGGCCGCCCGCCAAGUAUGGUGCCAUUCCGAGUCCCGCGGAUGAACUUCGCCCACGCCGCCCACCAAGGCUAUAGCCCACCCGUUUUUUGGCCAUUUUUCCGCUGGGGGGUCUUGGGACCCCGACCUUCGGGUGCUGAUUUUAGGGCGCGGCUGUGCCCGUGGCCUAUUUUUGGCACACAGAGGCCGCCCGCCAAGUAUGGUGCCAUUCCGAGUCCCGCGGACGAACUUCGCCCACGCCGCCCACCAAGGCUAUAGCCCACCCGUUUUUUGGCCAUUUUUCCGCUGGGGGGUCUUGGGACCCCGACCUUCGGGUGCUGAUUUUUGGGCGCGGCUGUGCCCGUGGCCUAUUUUUUGGCACACAGAGGGCCGCCCGCCAAGUCAGGGUGCCAUUCCGAGUCCCGCGGACGAAGUUCGCCCACGCCCCCCACCAAGGCUAUAGCCCACCCGUUUUUUGGCCAUUUUUCCGCUGGGGGGUCUUGGGACCCCGACCUUCGGGGGCUGAUUUUUGGGCGCGGCUGUGCCCGUGGCCUAUUUUUGGCACACGGAGGCCGCCCGCCAAGUCAGGGGCCAUUCCGAGUCCCGCGGACGAAGUUCGCCCACGCCCCCCACCAAGGCUAUAGCCCACCCGUUUUUUGGCCAUUUUUCCGCUGGGGGGUCUUGGGACCCCAACCUUCGGGGGCUGAUUUUUGAGCGCGGCUGUGCCCGUGGCCUAUUUUUGGCACACGGAGGCCGCCCGCCAAGACAGGGGCCAUUCCGAGUCCCGCGGACGAACUUCGCCCACGCCGCCCACCAAGGCUAUAGCCCACCCGUUUUUUGGCCAUUUUUCCGCUUGGGGGUCUUGGGACCCCGACCUUCGGGGGCUGAUUUUUGAGCGCGGCUGUGCCCGUGGCCUAUUUUUGGUACACGGAGGCCGCCCGCCAAGUCUGGUGCCAUUCCGAGUCCCGCGGACGAACUUCGCCCACGCCGCCCACCAAGGCUAUAGCCCACCCGUUUUUUGACCAUUUUUCCGCUGGGGGGUCUUGGGACCCCGACCUUCGGGGGCUGAUUUUUGGGCGCGGCUGUGCCCGUGGCCUAUUUUUGGCACACAGAGGCCGCCCGCCAAGUAUGGUGCCAUUCCGAGUCCCGCGGACGAACUUCGCCCACGCCCCCCACCAAGGCUAUAGCCCACCCGUUUUUUGGCCAUUUUUCCGCUGGGGGGUCUUGGGACCCCGACCUUCGGGGGCUGAUUUUUGGGCGCGGCUGUGCCCGUGGCCUAUUUUUGGCACACAGAGGCCGCCCGCCAAGUAUGGUGCCAUUCCGAGUCCCGCGGACGAACUUCGCCCACGCCGCCCACCAAGGCUAUAGCCCACCCGUUUUUUGGCCAUUUUUCCGCUGGGGGGUCUUGGGACCCCGACCUUCGGGGGCUGAUUUUUGGGCGCGGCUGUGCCCGUGGCCUAUUUUUGGCACACGGAGGCCGCCCGCCAAGUCAGGGGCCAUUCCGAGUCCCGCGGACGAAGUUCGCCCACGCCCCACACCAAGGCCAUAGCCCACCCGUUUUUUGGCCAUUUUUCCGCUGGGGGGUCUUGGGACCCCGACCUUCGGGGGCUGAUUUUUGGGCGCGGCUGUACCCGUGGCCCAGUUUUGGCACACGGAGGCCGCCCGCCAAGUCAGGGGCCAUUCCGAGUCCCGCGGAUGAAGUUCGCCCACGCCCCCCACCAAGGCUAUAGCCCACCCGUUUUUUGGCCAUUUUUCCACUGGGGGGUCUUGGGACCCCGACCUUCGGGGGCUGAUUUUUGUACGCGGCUGUGCCCGUGGCCUAUUUUUGGCACACAGAGGCCGCCCGCCAAGUAUGGUGCCAUUCCGAGUCCCGCGGACGAACUUCGCCCACGCCCCCCACCAAGGAUAUAGCCCACCCGUUUUUUGGCCAUUUUUCCGCUGGGGGGUCUUGGGACCCCGACCUUCAGGGGCUGAUUUUUGGGCGCGGCUGUGCCCGUGGCCUAUUUUUGGCACACGGAGGCCGCCCGCCAAGUCAGGGGCCAUUCCGAGUCCCGCGGACGAAGUUCGCCCACGCCCCCCACCAAGGCUAUAGCCAACCCGUUUUUUGGCCAUUUUUCCGCUGGGGGGUCUUGGGACCCCGACCUUCGGGGGCUGAUUUUUGGGCGCGGCUGUGCCCGUGGCCUAUUUUUGGCACACAGAGGCCGCCCGCCAAGUAUGGUGCCAUUCCGAGUCCCGCGGACGAACUUCGCCCACGCCGCCCACCAAGGCUAUAGCCCACCCGUUUUUUGGCCAUUUUUCCGCUGGGGGGUCAUGGGACCCCGACCUUCGGGGGCUGAUUUUUGGGCGCGGCUGUGCCCGUGGCCUAUUUUUGGCACACAGAGGCCGCCCGCCAAGUAUGGUGCCAUUCCGAGUCCCGCGGACGAACUUCGCCCACGCCCCCCACCAAGGCUAUAGCCCACCCGUUUUUUGGCCAUUUUUCCGCUGGGGGGUCUUGGGACCCCGACCUUCGGGGGCUGAUAUUUGGGCGCGGCUGUGCCCGUGGCCCAGUUUUGGCACACGGAGGCCGCCCGCCAAGUCGGGGGCCAUUCCGAGUCCCGCGGAUGAAGUUCGCCCACGCCCCCCACCAAGGCUAUAGCCCACCCGUUUUUUGGCCAUUUUUCCGCUGGGUGGUCUUGGGACCCCGACCUUCGGGGGCUGAUUUUUGGGCGCGGCUGUGCCCGUGGCCUAUUUUUGGCACACAGAGGCCGCCCGCCAAGUAUGGUGCCAUUCCGAGUCCCGCGGACGAACUUCGCCCACGCCGCCCACCAAUUCUAUAGCCCACCCGUUUUUUGGCCAUUUUUCCGCUGGGGGGUCUUGGGACCCCGACCUUCGGGGGCUGAUUUUUGGGCGCGGCUGUGCCCGUGGCCUAUUUUUGGCACACGGAGGCCGCCCGCCAAGUCAGGGGCCAUUCCGAGUCCCGCGGACGAAGUUCGCCCACGCCGUCCACCAAGGCUAUAGCCCACCCGUUUUUUGGCCAUUUUUCCACUGGGGGGUCUUGGGACACCGACUUUCGGGUGCUGAUUUUUGGGCGCGGCUGUGCCCGUGGCCUAUUUUUGGCACACAGAGGCCGCCCACCAAGUAUGGUGCCAUUCCGAGUCCCGCGGACGAACUUCGCCCACGCCCCCCACCAAGGCUAUAGCCCACCCGUUUUUUGGCCAUUUUUCCGCUGGGGGGUCUUGGGACCCCGACCUUCGGGGGCUGAUUUUUGGGCGCGGCUGUGCCCGUGGCCUAUUUUUGGCACACGGAGGCCGCCCGCCAAGUCAGGGGCCAUUCCGAGUCCCGCGGACGAACUUCGCCCACGCCGCCCACCAAGGCUAUAGCCCACCCGUUUUUUGGCCAUUUUUCCGCUGGGGGGUCUUGGGACCCCGACCUUCGGGGGCUGAUUUUUGGGCGCGGCUGUGCCCGUGGCCUAUUUUUGGCACACAGAGGCCGCCCGCCAAGUACGGUGCCAUUCCGAGUCCCGCGGACGAACUUCGCCCACGCCGCCCACCAAGGCUGUAGCCCACCCGUUUUUUGGCCAUUUUUCCGCUGGGGGGUCUUGGGACCCCGACCUUCGGGGGCUGAUUUUUGGGCGCGGCUGUGCCCGUGGCCUAUUUUUGGCACACGGAGGCCGCCCGCCAAGUCAGGGGCCAUUCCGACUCCCGCGGACGAAGUUCGCCCACGCCCCCCACCAAGGCUAUAGCCCACCCGUUUUUGGCCAUUUUUCCGCUGGGGGGUCUUGGGACCCCGACCUUCGGGGGCUGAUUUUUGGGCGCGGCUGUGCCCGUGGCCUAUUUUUAGCACACAGAGGCCGCCCGCCAAGUAUGGUGCCAUUCCGAGUCCCGCGGACGAACUUCGCCCACGCCCCCCACCAAGGCUAUAGCCCACCCGUUUUUUGGCCAUUUCUCCGCUGGUGGGUCUUGGGACCCCGACCUUCGGGGGCUGAUUUUUGGGCGCGGCUGUGCCCGUGGCCUAUUUUUGGCACACGGAGGCCGCCCGCCAAGUCAGGGGCCAUUCCGAGUCCCGCGGACGAAGUUCGCCCACGCCCCCCACCAAGGCUAUAGCCCACCCGUUUUUUGGCCAUUUUUCCACUGGGGGGUCUUGGGACCCCGACCUUCGGGGGCUGAUUUUUGGGCGCGGCUGUGCCCGUGGCCUAUUUUUGGCACACAGAGGCCGCCCGCCAAGUAUGGUGCCAUUCCGAGUCCCGCGGACGAACUUCGCCCACACCCCCAACAAGGCUAUAGCCCACCCGUUUUUUGGCCAUUUUUCCGCUGGUGGGUCUUGGGACCCCGACCUUCGGGGGCUGAUUUUUGGGCGCGGCUGUGCCCGUGCCCUAUUUUUGGCACACGGAGGCCGCCCGCCAAGUCAGGGGCCAUUCCGAGUCCCGCGGACGAAGUUCGCCCACGCCCCCCACCAAGGCUAUAGCCCACCCGUUUUUUGGCCAUUUUUCCACUGGGGGGUCUUGGGACCCCGACCUUCGGGGGCUGAUUUUUGUGCGCGGCUGUGCCCGUGGCCUAUUUUUGGCACACAGAGGCCGCCCGCCAAGUAUGGUGCCAUUCCGAGUCCCGCGGACGAACUUCGCCCACGCCCCCCACCAAGGCUAUAGCCCACCCGUUUUUUGGCCAUUUUUUCGCUGGGGGGUCUUGGGACCCCGACCUUCGGGGGCUGAUUUUUGGGCGCGGCUGUGCCCGUGGCCUAUUUUUGGUACCCGGAGGCCGCCCGCCAAGUCAGGGGCCAUUCCGAGUCCCGCGGACGAAGUUCGCCCACGCCCCCCACCAAGGCUAUAGCCCACCCGUUUUUUGGCCAUUUUUCCGCUGGGGGGUCUUGGGACCUCGACCUUCGGGGGCUGAUUUUUGGGCGCGGCUGUGCCCGUGUCCUAUUUUUGGCACACGGAGGCCGCCCGCCAAGUCAGGUGCCAUUCCGAGUCCCGCGGACGAAGUUUGCCCACGCCCCCCACCAAGGCUAUAGCCCACCCGUUUUUUGGCCAUUUUUCCGCUGGGGGGUCUUGGGACCCCGACCUUCGGGGGCUGAUUUUUGGGCGCGGCUGUGCCCGUGGCCUAUUUUUGGCACACAGAGGCCGCCCGCCAAGUAUGGUGCCAUUCCGAGUCCCGCGGACGAACUUCGCCCACGCCGCCCACCAAGGCUAUAGCCCACCCGUUUUUUGACCAUUUUUCCGCUGGGGGGUCUUGGGACCCCGACCUUCGGGGGCUGAUUUUUGGGCGCGGCUGUGCCCGUGGCCUAUUUUUGGUACCCGGAGGCCGCCCGCCAAGUCAGGGGCCAUUCCGAGUCCCGCGGACGAAGUUCGCCCUCUCCCCCCACCAAGGCUAUAGCCCACCCGUUUUUUGGCCAUUUUUCCGCUGGGGGGUCUUGGGACCUCGACCUUCGGGGGCUGAUUUUUGGGCGCGGCUGUGCCCGUGUCCUAUUUUUGGCACACGGAGGCCGCCCGCCAAGUCAGGGGCCAUUCCGAGUCCCGCGGACGAAGUUCGCCCACGCCCCCCACCAAGGCUAUAGCCCACCCGUUUUUUGGCCAUUUUUCCGCUGGGGGGUCUUGGGACCCCGACCUUCGGGGGCUGAUUUUUGGGCGCGGCUGUGCCCGUGGCCUAUUUUUGGCACACAGAGGCCGCCCGCCAAGUAUGGUGCCAUUCCGAGUCCCGCGGACGAACUUCGCCCACGCCGCCCACCAAGGCUAUAGCCCACCCGUUUUUUGACCAUUUUUCCGCUGGGGGGUCUUGGGACCCCGACCUUCGGGGGCUGAUUUUUGGGCGCGGCUGUGCCCGUGGCCAAUUUUUGGUACCCGGAGGCCGUCCGCCAAGUCAGGGGCCAUUCCGAGUCCCGCGGACGAAGUUCGCCCACGCCCCCCACCAAGGCUAUAGCCCACCCGUUUUUUGGCCAUUUUUCCGCUGGGGGGUCUUGGGACCCCGACCUUUGGGGGCUGAUUUUUGGGCGCGGCUGUGCCCGUGGCCUAUUUUUGGCACACGGAGGCCGCCCGCCAAGUCAGGGGCCAUUCCGAGUCCCGCGGACGAAGUUCGCCCACGCCCCCCACCAAGGCUAUAGCCCACCCGUUUUUUGGCCAUUUUUCCGCUGGGGGGUCUUGGGACCCCGACCUUCGGGGUCUGAUUUUUGGGCGCGGCUGUGCCCGUGGCCUAUUUUUGGCACACGGAGACCACCCGCCAAGUAUGGUGCCAUUCCGAGUCCCGCGGACGAACUUCGCCCACGCCCCCCACCAAGGCUAUAGCCCACCCGUUUUUUGGCCAUUUUUCCGCUGGGGGGUCUUGGGACCCCGACCUUCGGGGGCUGAUUUUUGGGCGCGGCUGUGCCCGUGGCCUAUUUUUGGCACACGGAGGCCGCCCGCCAAGUAUGGUGCCAUUCCGAGUCCCGCGGACGAACUUCGCCCACGCCGCCCACCAAGGCUAUAGCCCACCCGUUUUUUGGCCAUUUUUCCGCUGGGGGGUCUUGGGACCCCGACCUUCGGGGGCUGAUUUUUGGGCGCGGCUGUGCCCGUGGCCUAUUAUUGGCACACGGAGGCCGCCCGCCAAGUCAGGGACCAUUCCGAGUCCCGCGGACGAAGUUCGCCCACGCCCCCCACCAAGGCUAUAGCCCACCCGUUUUUUGGACAUUUUUCCGCUGGGGGGUCUUGGGACCCCGACCUUCGGGGGCUAAUUUUUGGGCGCGGCUGUGCCCGUGGCCUAUUUUUGGCACACAUAGGCCGCCCGCCAAGUAUGGUGCCAUUCCUAGUCCCGCGGACAAACUUCUCCCACACCACCCACCAAGGCUAUAGCCCACCCGUUUUUGGCCAUUUUUCCGCUGGGGGGUCUUGGGAGCCCGACCUUCGGGGGCUGAUUUUUGGGCGCGGCUGUGCCCGUGGCCUAUUUUUGGCACACGGAGGCCGCCCGCCAAGUCAGGGGCCAUUCCGAGUCCCGCGGACGAAGUUCGCCCACGCCCCCCACCAAGGCUAUAGCCCACCCGUUUUUUGGCCAUUUUUCCGCUGGGGGGUCUUGGGACCCCGACCUUCGGGGGCUGAUUUUUGGGCCGCGGCUGUGCCCGUGGCCUAUUUUUGGCACACAGAGGCCGCCCGCCAAGUAUGGUGCCAUUCCGAGUCCCGCGGACGAACUUCGCCCACGCCCCCCACCAAGGCUAUAGCCCACCCGUUUUUUGGCCAUUUUUCCGCUGGGGGGUCUUGGGACCCCGACCUUCGGGGGCUGAUUUUUGGGCGCGGCUGUGCCCGUGGCCUAUUUUUGGCACACAGAGGCCGCCCGCCAAGUAUGGUGCCAUUCCGAGUCCCGCGGACGAACUUCGCCCACGCCCCCCACCAAGGCUAUAGCCCACCCGUUUUUUGGCCAUUUUUCCGCUGGGGGGUCUUGGGACCCCGACCUUCGGGGGCUGAUUUUUGGGCGCGGCUGUGCCCGUGGCCUAUUUUUGGCACACGGAGGCCGCCCGCCAAGUCAGGGGCCAUUCCGAGUCCCGCGGACGAAGUUCGCCCACGCCCCCCACCAAGGCUAUAGCCCACCCGUUUUUUGGCCAUUUUUCCACUGGGGGGUCUUGGGACCCCGACCUUCGGGGGCUGAUUUUUGGGCGCGGCUGUGCCCGUGGCCUAUUUUUGGCACACGGAGGCCGCCCGCCAAGUCAGGGGCCAUUCCAAGUCCCGCGUACGAAGUUCGCCCACGCCUCCCACCAAGGCUAUAGCCCACCCAUUUUUUGGCCAUUUUUCCACUGGGGGGUCUUGGGACCCCGACCUUCGGGGGCUGAUUUUUGUGCGCGGCUGUGCCCGUGGCCUAUUUUUGGCACACAGAGACCGCCCGCCAAGUAUGGUGCCAUUCCGAGUCCCGCGGACGAACUUCGCCCACGCCGCCCACCAAGUCUAUAGCCCACCCGUUUUUUGGCCAUUUUUCCGCUGGGGGGUCUUGGGACCCCGACCUUCGGGGGCUGAUUUUUGGGCGCGGCUGUGCCCGUGGCCUAUUUUUGGCACACAGAGGCCGCCCGCCAAGUAUGGUGCCAUUCCGAGUCCCGCGGACGAACUUCGCCCACGCCCCCCACCAAGGCUAUAGCCCACCCGUUUUUUGGCCAUUUUUCCGCUGGGGGGUCUUGGGACCCCGACCUUCGGGGGCUGAUUUUUGGGCGCGGCAGUGCCCGUGGCCUAUUUUUGGCACACAGAGGCCGCCCGCCAAGUAUGGUGCCAUUCCGAGUCCCGCAGAUGAACUUCGCCCACGCCGCCCACCAAGGCUAUAGCCCACCCGUUUUUUGGCCAUUUUUCCGCUGGGGGGUCUUGGGACCCCGACCUUCGGGGGCUGAUUUUUGGGCGCGGCUGUGCCCGUGGCCUAUUUUUGGCACACGGAGGCCGCCCGCCAAGUCAGGGGCCAUUCCGAGUCCCGCGGACGAAGUUCGCCCACGCCCCCCACCAAGGCUAUAGCCCACCCGUUUUUUGGCCAUUUUUCCGCUGGGGGGUCUUGGGACCCUGACCUUCGGGGGCUGAUUUUUGGGCGCGGCUGUGCCCGUGGCCUAUUUUUGGCACACAGAGGCCGCCCGCCAAGUAUGGUGCCAUUCCGAGUCCCGCGGACGAACUUCGCCCACGCCGCCCACCAAGGCUAUUGCCCACCCGUUUUUUGGCCAUUUUUCCACUGGGGGGUCUUGGGACCCCUACNNNNNNNNNNNNNNNNNNNNNNNNNNNNNNNNNNNNNNNNNNNNNNNNNNNNNNNNNNNNNNNNNNNNNNNNNNNNNNNNNNNNNNNNNNNNNNNNNNNNNNNNNNNNNNNNNNNNNNNNNNNNNNNNNNNNNNNNNNNNNNNNNNNNNNNNNNNNNNNNNNNNNNNNNNNNNNNNNNNNNNNNNNNNNNNNNNNNNNNNNNNNNNNNNNNNNNNNNNNNNNNNNNNNNNNNNNNNNNNNNNNNNNNNNNNNNNNNNNNNNNNNNNNNNNNNNNNNNNNNNNNNNNNNNNNNNNNNNNNNNNNNNNNNNNNNNNNNNNNNNNNNNNNNNNNNNNNNNNNNNNNNNNNNNNNNNNNNNNNNNNNNNNNNNNNNNNNNNNNNNNNNNNNNNNNNNNNNNNNNNNNNNNNNNNNNNNNNNNNNNNNNNNNNNNNNNNNNNNNNNNNNNNNNNNNNNNNNNNNNNNNNNNNNNNNNNNNNNNNNNNNNNNNNNNNNNNNNNNNNNNNNNNNNNNNNNNNNNNNNNNNNNNNNNNNNNNNNNNNNNNNNNNNNNNNNNNNNNNNNNNNNNNNNNNNNNNNNNNNNNNNGGCUGUACCCGUGGCCUAUUUUUGGCACACGGAGGCCGCCCGCCAAGUCAGGGGCCAUUCCGAGUCCCGCGGACGAAGUUCGCCCACGCCCCCCACCAAGGCUAUAGCCAACCCGUUUUUUGGCCAUUUUUCCGCUGGGGGGUCUUGGGACCCCGAGCUUCGGGGGCUGAUUUUUGGGCGCGGCUGUGCCCGUGGCCUAUUUUUGGAAUACAGUGACCGCCCGCCAAGUAUGGUGCCAUUCCGAGUCCCGCGGACGAACUUCGCCCACGCCGCCCCACCAAGGCUAUAGCCCACCCGUUUUUUGGCCAUUUUUCCGCUGGGGGGUCUUGGGACCCCGACCUUCGGGGGCUGUUUUUUGGGCGCGGCUGUGCCCGUGGCCUAUUUUUGGCACACGGAGGCCGCCCGCAACGUCUGGUGCCAUUCCGAGUCCCGCGGACGAACUUCGCCCACGCCCCCGACCAAGGCUAUAGCCCACCCGUUUUUUGGCCAUUUUUCCGCUGGGGGGUCUUGGGACCCCGACCUUCGGGAGCUGUUUUUUGGGCGCGGCUGUGCCCGUGGCCUAUUUUUGGCACACGGAGGCCGCCCGCCACGUCUGGUGCCAUUCCGAGUCCCGCGGACGAACUUCGCCCACGGCCCCCACCAAGGCUAUAGCCCACCCGUUUUUUGGCCAUUUUUCCGCUGGGGGGUCUUGGGACCCCGACCUUCGGGGGCUGUUUUUUGGGCGCGGCUGUGCCCGUGGCCUAUUUUUGGCACACGGAGGCCGCCCGCCAAGUCUGGUGCCAUUCCGAGUCCCGCGGACGAACUUCGCCCACGCCCCCCACCAAGGCUAUAGCCCACCCGUUUUUUGGCCAUUUUUCCGCUGGGGGGUCUUGGGACCCCGACCUUCGGGGGCUGUUUUUUGGGCGCGGCUGUGCCCGUGGCCUAUUUUUGGCACACGGAGGCCGCCCGCCAAGUCUGGUGCCAUUCCGAGUCCCGCGGACGAACUUCGCCCACGCCCCCCACCAAGGCUAUAGCCCACCCGUUUAUUGGCCAUUUUUCCGCUGGGGGGUCUUGGGACCCCGACCUUCGGGGGCUGGUUUUUGGGCGCGGCUGUGCCCGUGGCCUAUUUUUGGCACACGGAGGCCGCCCGCCAAGUCUGGUGCCAUUCCGAGUCCCGCGGACGAACUUCGCCCACGGCCCCCACCAAGGCUAUAGCCCACCCGUUUUUUGGCCAUUUUUCCGCUGGGGGGUCUUGGGACCCCGACCUUCGGGGGCUGUUUUUUGGGCGCGGCUGUGCCCGUGGCCUAUUUUUGGCACACGGAGGCCGCCCGCCAAGUCUGGUGCCAUUCCGAGUCCCGCGGACGAACUUCGCCCACGGCCCCCACCAAGGCUAUAGCCCACCCGUUUUUUGGCCAUUUUUCCGCUGGGGGGUCUUGGGACCCCGACCUUCGGGGGCUGUUUUUUGGGCGCGGCUGUGCCCGUGGCCUAUUUUUGGCACACGGAGGCCGCCCGCCAAGUCUGGUGCCAUUCCGAGUCCCGCGGACGAACUUCGCCCACGCCCCCCACCAAGGCUAUAGCCCACCCGUUUUUUGGCCAUUUUUCCGCUGGGGGGUCUUGGGACCCCGACCUUCGGGGGCUGGUUUUUGGGCGCGUCUGUGCCCGUGGCCUAUUUUUGGCACACGGAGGCCGCCCGCCAAGUCUGGUGCCAUUCCGAGUCCCGCGGACGAACUUCGCCCACGCCCCCCACCAAGGCUAUAGCCCACCCGUUUUUUGGCCAUUUUUCCGCUGGGGGGUCUUGGGACCCCGACCUUCGGGGGCUGUUUUUUGGGCGCGGCUGUGCCCGUGGCCUAUUUUUGGCACACGGAGGCCGCCCGCCAAGUCUGGUGCCAUUCCGAGUCCCGCGGACGAACUUCGCCCACGCCCCCCACCAAGGCUAUAGCCCACCCGUUUUUUGGCCAUUUUUCCGCUGGGGGGUCUUCGGACCCCGACCUUCGGGGGCUGGUUUUUGGGCGCGGCUGUGCCCGUGGCCUAUUUUUGGCACACGGAGGCCGCCCGCCAAGUCUGGUGCCAUUCCGAGUCCCGUGGACGAACUUCGCCCACGGCCCCCACCAAGGCUAUAGCCAACCCGUUUUUUGGCCAUUUUUCCGCUGGGGGGUCUUGGGACCCCGACCUUGGGGGGCUGUUUUUUGGGCGCGGCUGUGCCCGUGGCCUAUUUUUGGCACACGGAGGCCGCCCGCCAAGUCUGGUGCCAUUCCGAGUCCCGCGGACGAACUUCGCCCACGCCCCCCACCAAGGCUAUAGCCCACCCGUUUUUUGGCCAUUUUUCCGCUGGGGGGUCUUGGGACCCCGACCUUCGGGGGCUGUUUUUUGGGCGCGGCUGUGCCCGUGGCCUAUUUUUGGCACACGGAGGCCGCCCACCAAGUCUGGUGCCAUUCCGAGUCCCGCGGACGAACUUCGCCCACGCCCCCCACCAAGGCUAUAGCCCACCUAUUUUUUGGCCAUUUUUCCGCUGGGGGGUCUUGGGACCCCGACCUUCGGGGGCUGUUUUUUGGGCGCGGCAGUGCUCGUGGCCUAUUUUUGGCACACGGAGGCCGCCCUCCAAGUCUGCUGCCAUUCCGAGUCCCGCGGACGAACUUCGCCCACGCCCCCCACCAAGGCUAUAGCCCACCUAUUUUUUGGCCAUUUUUCCGCUGGGGGGUCUUGGGACCCCGAACUUCGAGGGCUGUUUUUUGGGUGCGGCUGUGCCCGUGGCCUAUUUUUGGCACACGGAGGCCGCCCGCCAAGUCUGGUGCCAUUCCGAGUCCCGCGGACGAACUUCGCCCACGCCCCCCACCAAGGCUAUAGCCCACCCGUUUUUUGGCCAUUUUUCCGCUGGGGGGUCUUGGGACCCCGACCUUCGGGGGCUGUUUUUUGGGCGCGGCUGUGCCCGUGGCCUAUUUUUGGCACACGGAGGCCGCCCGCCAAGUCUGGUGCCAUUCCGAGUCCCGCGGACGAACUUCGCCCACGCCCCCCACCAAGGCUAUAGCCCACCCGUUUUUUGGCCAUUUUUCCGCUGGCGGGUCUUGGGACCCCGGCCUUCGGGGGCUGUUUUUUGGGCGCGGCAGUGCCCGUGGCCUAUUUUUGGCACACGGAGGCCGCCCGCCAAGUCUGGUGCCAUUCCGAGUCCCGCGGACGAACUUCGCCCACGGCCCCCACCAAGGCUAUAGGCCACCCGUUUUUUGGCCAAUUUUCCGCUGGGGGGUCUUGGGACCCCGACCUUCGGGGGCUGUUUUUUGGGCGCGGCUGUGCCCGUGGCCUAUUUUUGGCACACGGAGGCCGCCCGCCAAGUCUGGUGCCAUUCCGAGUCCCGCGGACGAACUUCGCCCACGCCCCCCACCAAGGCUAUAGCCCACCCGUUUUUUGGUCAUUUUUCCGCUGGGGGGUCUUGGGACCCCGACCUUCGGGGGCUGUUUUUUGGGCGCGGCUGUGCCCGUGGCCUAUUUUUGGCACACGGAGGCCGCCCGCCAAGUCUGGUGCCAUUCCGAGUCCCGCGGACAAACUUCGCCCACGACCCCCACCAAGGCUAUAGGCCACCCGUUUUUUGGCCAUUUUUCCGCUGGGGGGGUCUUGGGACCCCGACCUUCGGGGGCUGUUUUUUGGACGCGGCUGUGCCCGUGGCCUAUUUUUGGCACACGGAGGCCGCCCGCCAAGUCUGGUGCCAUUCCGAGUCCCGCGGACGAACUUCGCCCACGGCCCCCACCAAGGCUAUAGGCCACCCGUUUUUUGGCCAAUUUUCCGCUGGGGGGUCUUGGGACCCCGACCUUCGGGGGCUGUUUUUUGGGCGCGGCUGUGCCCGUGGCCUAUUUUUGGCACACGGAGGCCGCCCGCCAAGUCUGGUGCCAUUCCGAGUCCCGCGGACGAACUUCGCCCACGCCCCCCACCAAGGCUAUAGCCCACCCGUUUUUUGGUCAUUUUUCCGCUGGGGGGUCUUGGGACCCCGACCUUCGGGGGCUGUUUUUUGGGCGCGGCUGUGCCCGUGGCCUAUUUUUGGCACACGGAGGCCGCCCGCCAAGUCUGGUGCCAUUCCGAGUCCCGCGGACGAACUUCGCCCACGGCCCCCACCAAGGCUAUAGCCCACCCGUUUUUUGGCCAUUUUUCCGCUGGGGGGUCUUGGGACCCCGACCUUCGGGGGCUGUUUUUUGGGCGCGGCUGUGCCCGUGGCCUAUUUUUGGCACACGGAGGCCGCCCGCCAAGUCUGGUGCCAUUCCGAGUCCCGCGGACGAACUUCGCCCACGCCCCCCACCAAGGCUAUAGCCCACCCGUUUUUUGGUCAUUUUUCCGCUGGGGGUCUUGGGACCCCGACCUUCGGGGGCUGUUUUUUGGGCGCGGCUGUGCCCGUGGCCUAUUUUUGGCACACGGAGGCCGCCCGCCAAGUCUGGUGCCAUUCCGAGUCCCGCGGACGAACUUCGCCCACGCCCCCCACCAAGGCUAUAGCCCACCCGUUUUUUGGCCAUUUUUCCGCUGGGGGGUCUUGGGACCCCGACCUUCGGGGGCUGUUUUUUGGGCGCGGCUGUGCCCGUGGCCUAUUUUUGGCACACGGAGGCCGCCCGCCACGUCUGGUGCCAUUCCGAGUCCCGCGGACGAACUUCGCCCACGGCCCCGACCAAGGCUAUAGCCCACCCGUUUUUUGGCCAUUUUUCCGCUGGGGGGUCUUGGGACCCCGACCUUCGGGGGCUGUUUUUUGGGCGCGGCUGUGCCCGUGGCCUAUUUUUGGCACACGGAGGCCGCCCGCCAAGUCUGGUGCCAUUCCGAGUCCCGCGGACGAACUUCGCCCACGGCCCCCACCAAGGCUAUAGCCCACCCGUUUUUUGGCCAUUUUUCCGCUGGGGGGUCUUGGGACCCCGACCUUCGGGGGCUGGUUUUUGGGCGCGGCUGUGCCCGUGGCCUAUUUUUGGCACACGGAGGCUGCCCGCCAAGUCUGGUGCCAUUCCGAGUCCCGCGGACGAACCUCGCCCACGCCCCCCACCAAGGCUAUAGCCCACCCGUUUUUUGGCCAUUUUUCCGCUGGGGGGUCUUGGGACCCCGACCUUCGGGGGCUGAUUUUUGGGCGCGGCUGUGCCCGUGGCCUAUUUUUGGCACACAGAGGCCGCCCGCCAAGUAUGGUGCCAUUCCGAGUCCCGCGGACGAACUUUGCCCACGCCCCCCACCAAGGCUAUAGCCCACCCGUUUUUUGGCCAUUUUUCCGCUGGGGGGUCUUGGGACCCCGACCUUCGGGGGCUGAUUUUUGGGCGCGGCUGUGCCCGUGGCCUAUUUUUGGCACACGGAGGCCGCCCGCCAAGUCAGGGGCCAUUCCGAGUCCCGCGGACGAAGUUCGCCCACGCCCCCCACCAAGGCUAUAGCCCACCCGUUUUUUGGCCAUUUUUCCACUGGGGGGUCUUGGGACCCCGACCUUCGGGGGCUGAUUUUUGUGCGCGGCUGUGCCCGUGGCCUAUUUUUGGCACACAGAGGCCGCCCGCCAAGUAUGGUGCCAUUCCGAGUCCCGCAGACGAACUUCGCCCACGCACCCCACCAAGGCUAUAGCCCACCCGUUUUUUGGCCAUUUUUCCGCUGGGGGGUCUUGGGACCCCGACCUUCGGGGGCUGAUUUUUGGGCGCGGCUGUGCCCGUGGCCUAUUUUUGGCACACAAAGGCCGCCCGCCAACUAUGGUGCCAUUCCGAGUCCCGCGGACGAACUUCGCCCACGCCCCUCACCAAGGCUAUAGCCCACCCGUUUUUUGGCCAUUUUUCCGCUGGGGGGUCUUGGGACCCCGACCUUCGGGGGCUGAUUUUUGGGCGCGGCUGUGCCCUUGGCCUAUUUUUGGCACACGGAGGCCGCCCGCCAAGUCAGGGGCCAUUCCGAGUCCCGCGGACGAAGUUCGCCCACGCCCCCCACCAAGGCUAUAGCCCACCCGUUUUUUGGCCAUUUUUCCACUGGGGCGGCUUGGGACCCCGACCUUCCGGGGCUGAUUAUUGUGCGCGGCUGUACCCGUGGCUAUUUUUGGCACACAGAGGCCGCCCGCCAAGUAUGGUGCCAUUCCGAGUCCCGCGGACGAACUUCGCCCACGCCCCCCAUCAAGGCUAUAGCCCACCCGUUUUUUGGCCAUUUUUCCGCUGGGGGGUCUUGGGACCCCGACCUUCGGGGGCUGAUUUUUGGACGCGGCUGUGCCCGUGGCCUAUUUUUGGCACACAGAGGCCGCCCGCCAAGUAUGGUGCCAUUCUAAGUCCCGCGGACGAACUUCGCCCACGCCGCCCACCAAGGCUAUAGCCCACCCGUUUUGUGGCCAUUUUUCCGCUGGGGGGUCUUGGGACCCCGACCUUCGGGGGCUGAUUUUUGGGCGCGGCUGUGCCCGUGGCCUAUUUUUGGCACACGGAGGCCGCCCGCCAAGUCAGGGGCCAUUCCGAGUCCCGCGGACGAAGUUCGCCCACGCCCCCCACCAAGGCUAUAGCCCACCCGUUUUUUGGCCAUUUUUCCACUGGGGGGUCUUGGGACCCCGACCUUCGGGGGCUGAUUUUUGGGCGCGGCUGUGCCCGUGGCCUAUUUUUGGCACACGGAGGCCGCCCGCCAAGUAUGGUGCCAUUCCGAGUCCCGCGGACGAACUUCGCCCACGCCCCCCACCAAGGCUAUAGCCCACCCGUUUUUUGGCCAUUUUUCCGCUGGGGGGUCUUGGGACCCCGACCUUCGGGGGCUGAUUUUUGGGCGCGGCUGUGCCCGUGGCCUAUUGUUGGCACACAGAGGCGGCCCGCCAAGUAUGGUGCCAUUCCGAGUCCCGCGGACGAAGUUCGCCCACGCCCCCCACCAAGGCUAUAGCCCACCCGUUUUUUGGCCAUUUUUCCGCUGGGGGGUCUUGGGACCCCGACCUUCGGGGGCUGAUUUUUGGGCGCGGCUGUGCCCGUGGCCUAUUUUUGGCACACGGAGGCCACCCGCCAGGUCUGAGGCCAUUCCGAGUCCCGCGGACGAACUUCGCCCACGCCCCCCACCAAGGCUAUAGCCCACCCUUUUUUUGGCCAUUUUUCCGCUGGGGGGUCUGGGGACCCCACCUUCGCGGCUGUGCCCGUGGCCUAUUUUUGGCACACAGAGGCCGCCCGCCAAGUAUGGUGCCAUUCCGAGUCCCGCGGACGAACUUCGCCCACGCCGCCCACCAAGGCUAUAGCCCACCUGUUUUUUGGCCAUUUUUCCGCUGGGGGGUCUUGGGACCCCGACCUUCGGGGGCUGAUUUUUGGGCGCGGCUGUGCCCGUGGCCUAUUUUUGGCACACGGAGGCCGCCCGCCAAGUCAGGGGCCAUUCCGAGUCCCGCGGACGAAGUUCGCCCACGCCCCCCACCAAGGCCAUAGCCCACCCGUUUUUUGGCCAUUUUUCCGCUGGGGGGUCUUGGGACCCCGACCUUCGGGGGCUGAUUUUUGGGCGCGGCUGUGCCCGGGGCCUAUUUUUGGCACACGGAGGCCGCCCGCCAAGUCAGGGGCCAUUCCGAGUCCCGCGGACGAAGUUAGCCCACGCCCCCCACCAAGGCUAUAGCCCACCCGUUUUUUGGCCAUUUUUCCGCUGGGGGGUCUUGGGACCCCGACCUUCGUGGGCUGAUUUUUGGGCGCGGCUGUGCCCGUGGCCUAUUUUUGGCACACAGAGGCCGCCCGCCAAGUAUGGUGCCAUUCCGAGUCCCGCGGACGAACUUCGCCCACGCCGCCCACCAAGGCUAUAGCCCACCCGUUUUUUGGCCAUUUUUCCGCUGGGGGGUCUUGGGACCCCGACCUUCGGGGGCUGAUUUUUGGGCGCGGCUGUGCCCGUGGCCUAUUUUUGGCACACGGAGGCCGCCCGCCAAGUCAGGGGCCAUUCCGAGUCCCGCGGACGAAGUUCGCCCACGCCCCCCACCAAGGCUAUAGCCCACCCGUUUUUUGGCCAUUUUUCCGCUGGGGGGUCUUGGGACCCCGACCUUCGGGGGCUGAGUUUUGGGCGCGGCUGUGCCCGUGGCCUAUUUUUGGCACACAGAGGCCGCCCGCCAAGUAUGGUGCCAUUCCGAGUCCCGCGGACGAUUUUCGCCCACGCCGCCCACCAAGGCUAUAGCCCACCCGUUUUUUGGCCAUUUUUCCACUGGGGGGUCUUGGGACCCCGACCUUCGGGGGCUGAUUUUUGUGCGCGGCUGUGCCCGUGGACUUUUUUUGGCACACAGAGGCCGCCCGCCAAGUAUGGUGCCAUUCCGAGUCCCGCGGAUGAACUUCGCCCACGCCCCUCACCAAGGCUAUAGCCCACCCGUUUUUUGGCCAUUUUUCCGCUGGGGGGUCUUGGGACCCCGACCUUCGGGGGCUGAUUUUUGGGCGCGGCUGUGCCCUUGGCCUAUUUUUGGCACACGGAGGCCGCCCGCCAAGUCAGGGGCCAUUCCGAGUCCCGCGGACGAAGUUCGCCCACGCCCCCCACCAAGGCUAUAGCCCACCCGUUUUUUGGCCAUUUUUCCACUGGGGCGGCUUGGGACCCCGACCUUCCGGGGCUGAUUAUUGUGCGCGGCUGUACCCGUGGCUAUUUUUGGCACACAGAGGCCGCCCGCCAAGUAUGGUGCCAUUCCGAGUCCCGCGGACGAACUUCGCCCACGCCCCCCAUCAAGGCUAUAGCCCACCCGUUUUUUGGCCAUUUUUCCGCUGGGGGGUCUUGGGACCCCGACCUUCGGGGGCUGAUUUUUGGGCGCGGCUGUGCCCGUGGCCUAUUUUUGGCACACGGAGGCCGCCCGCCAAGUAUGGUGCCAUUCCGAGUCCCGCGGACGAACUUCGCCCACGCCCCCCACCAAGGCUAUAGCCCACCCGUUUUUUGGCCAUUUUUCCUGCUGGGGGGUCUUGGGACCCCGACCUUCGGGGGCUGAUUUUUGGGCGCGGCCUGUGCCCGUGGCCUAUUUUUGGCACACNNNNNNNNNNNNNNNNNNNNNNNNNNNNNNNNNNNNNNNNNNNNNNNNNNNNNNNNNNNNNNNNNNNNNNNNNNNNNNNNNNNNNNNNNNNNNNNNNNNNNNNNNNNNNNNNNNNNNNNNNNNNNNNNNNNNNNNNNNNNNNNNNNNNNNNNNNNNNNNNNNNNNNNNNNNNNNNNNNNNNNNNNNNNNNNNNNNNNNNNNNNNNNNNNNNNNNNNNNNNNNNNNNNNNNNNNNNNNNNNNNNNNNNNNNNNNNNNNNNNNNNNNNNNNNNNNNNNNNNNNNNNNNNNNNNNNNNNNNGGGACCCCGACCUUCGGGGGGUGGAUUUUGGGCGCAGGCUGUGCCCGUGGCCUAUUUUUGGCACACGGAGGCCGCCCGCCAAGUCAGGGGCCAUUCCGAGUCCCGCGGACGAAAUUCGCCCACGCCCCCCACCAAGGCUAUAGCCCACCCGUUUGUUGGCCAUUUUUCCGCUGGGGGGUCUUGGGACCCCGACCUUCGGGGGCAGAUUUUUGGGCGCGGCUGUGCCCGUGGCCUAUUUUUGGCACACAGAGGCCGCCCGCCAAGUAUGGUGCCAUUCCGAGUCCCGCGGACGAACUUCGCCCAC